RNAcentral lists this ribosomal RNA (497 nucleotides) under uncultured bacterium. RNAcentral describes it as "partial 16S ribosomal RNA". It matches the Rfam family "Bacterial small subunit ribosomal RNA", at positions 28 to 507 of the family's 1533-position model. The record is from RNAcentral.
GAUGAACGCUGGCGGCGUGCCUAAUACAUGCAAGUCGAGCGAACGGACGAGAAGCUUGCUUUUCUGAUGUUAGCGGCGGACGGGUGAGUAACACGUGGAUAACCUACCUAUAAGACUGGGAUAACUUCGGGAAACCGGAGCUAAUACCGGAUAAUAGUUUGAACCGCAUGGUUCAAAAGUGAAAGACGGUCUUGCUGUCACUUAUAGAUGGAUCCGCGCUGCAUUAGCUAGUUGGUAAGGUAACGGCUUACCAAGGCAACGAUGCAUAGCCGACCUGAGAGGGUGAUCGGCCACACUGGAACUGAGACACGGUCCAGACUCCUACGGGAGGCAGCAGUAGGGAAUCUUCCGCAAUGGGCGAAAGCCUGACGGAGCAACGCCGCGUGAGUGAUGAAGGUCUUCGGAUCGUAAAACUCUGUUAUUAGGGAAGAACAUAUGUGUAAGUAACUGUGCACAUCUUGACGGUACCUAAUCAGAAAGCCACGGCUAACCACGUG